GACGAACGCUGGCGGCGUGCCUAAUACAUGCAAGUCGAACGCAUUUUCUUUCACCGUAGCUUGCUACACCGAAAGAAAAUGAGUGGCGAACGGGUGAGUAACACGUGGGUAACCUGCCCAUCAGCGGGGGAUAACACUUGGAAACAGGUGCUAAUACCGCAUAAUUCCAUUUACUGCAUGGUAGAUGGAUGAAAGGCGCUUUUGCGUCACUGAUGGAUGGACCCGCGGUGCAUUAGCUAGCUGGUGGGGUAACGGCCUACCAAGGCUGCGAUGCAUAGCCGACCUGAGAGGGUGAUCGGCCACACUGGGACUGAGACACGGCCCAGACUCCUACGGGAGGCAGCAGUAGGGAAUCUUCGGCAAUGGACGCAAGUCUGACCGAGCAACGCCGCGUGAGUGAAGAAGGUUUUCGGAUCGUAAAACUCUGUUGUUAGAAAAGAACAAGGAUGAGAGUGGAAAGUUCAUCCCUUGACGGUAUCUAACCAGAAAGCCACGGCUAACUACGUG
This 507-nucleotide ribosomal RNA is filed under the name uncultured bacterium. RNAcentral describes it as "partial 16S ribosomal RNA". It matches the Rfam family "Bacterial small subunit ribosomal RNA", at positions 28 to 507 of the family's 1533-position model. The record is from RNAcentral.